GACGGAGGGUGCUAGCGUUGUUCGGAAUCACUGGGCGUAAAGGGCGCGUAGGCGGCCCAUGCCGUCGGCUCGUGAAAGCCCGGGGCUCAACCCCGGAGGUGCGGCCGAGACCCAUGGGCUGGAGGCCGGAAGAGGAGGGUGGAAUACCCAGUGUAGAGGUGAAAUUCGUAGAUAUUGGGUGGAACACCGGUGGCGAAAGCGGCUCUCUGGUCCGGUCCUGACGCUGAGGCGCGAAAGCGUGGGGAGCAAACAGG
This 254-nucleotide ribosomal RNA is filed under the name uncultured bacterium. RNAcentral describes it as "partial 16S ribosomal RNA". It matches the Rfam family "Bacterial small subunit ribosomal RNA", at positions 524 to 776 of the family's 1533-position model. The record is from RNAcentral.